Molecule: ribosomal RNA, 318 nt
Filed under: uncultured Pseudomonadota bacterium
Lineage: Bacteria; Pseudomonadati; Pseudomonadota
Description: bacterial SSU rRNA
Rfam family: Bacterial small subunit ribosomal RNA
Source: RNAcentral
AGGAAACUUGUGCUAAUACCUGAUAAGUCUUUACGGAGAAAGCUUUAUGCACCAUUGGAUGAGCCUGCACUUGAUUAGUUAGUUGGUAGGGUAAAGGCCUACCAAGACUUUGAUCAAUAGCUGAUUUGAGAGGAUGAUCAGCCACAUUGGGACUGAGACACGGCCCAAACUCCUACGGGAGGCAGCAGUGGGGAAUCUUGCACAAUGGAGGAAACUCUGAUGCAGCGAUGCCGCGUGAGUGAAGAAGGCCUUUGGGUUGUAAAGCUCUUUCGUCGGGGAAGAAAAUGACUGUACCCGAAUAAGAAGGUCCGGCUAACU